GUUACGGCGGCCACAGCGACAGGGAAACGCCCGGUCCCAUCCCGAACCCGGAAGCUAAGCCUGUCAGCGCCGAUGGUACUGCCCUUUUCGGGUGGAAGAGUAGGACACCGCCGAACAC
RNAcentral lists this ribosomal RNA (118 nucleotides) under Mycobacterium asiaticum. The record is from RNAcentral. Lineage: Bacteria; Bacillati; Actinomycetota; Actinomycetes; Mycobacteriales; Mycobacteriaceae.